RNAcentral lists this ribosomal RNA (499 nucleotides) under uncultured bacterium. RNAcentral describes it as "partial 16S ribosomal RNA". It matches the Rfam family "Bacterial small subunit ribosomal RNA", at positions 28 to 507 of the family's 1533-position model. The record is from RNAcentral.
GAUGAACGCUGGCGGCGUGCCUAAUACAUGCAAGUCGAGCGAACAGACGAGAGUGCUUGCCCUCUCUGACGUUAGCGGCGGACGUGUGAGUCACACGUGGGUAACCUACCUAUAAGACUGGGAUAACUUCGGGAAACCGGAGCUAAUACCGGAUAAUAUUUAGCUUCGCAUGACGCAAUAGUGAAAGACGGUUCUGCUGUCACUUAUAGAUGGACCCGCGGUGUAUUAGCUAGUUGGUGAGGUAACGGCUCACCAAGGCAACGAUACAUAGCCGACCUGAGAGGGUGAUCGGCCACACUGGAACUGAGACACGGCCCAGACUCCUACGGGAGGCAGCAGUAGGGAAUCUUCCGCAAUGGACGAAAGUCUGACGGAGCAAUGCCGCGUGAGUGAAGAAGGUUUUCGGAUCGUAAAACUCUGUUGUAAGGGAAGAACAAGUACGUUAGUAACUGAACGUACCUUGACGGUACCUUACCAGAAAGCCACGGCUAACUACGUG